Molecule: ribosomal RNA, 216 nt
Filed under: Glomeromycotina sp.
Lineage: Eukaryota; Fungi; Glomeromycota
Description: partial small subunit ribosomal RNA
Source: RNAcentral
GGGUCAGUAGGUUGGUCGUGCCACCGGUACGUACUGGUCUCACUGAUUCCUCCUUCCUGAAGAACCGUAAUGCCAUUAAUUUGGUGUUGCGGGGAAACAGGACUGUUACUUUGAAAAAAUUAGAGGGUAUAACGCAAGCUAACGCUUGAAUACAUUAGCAUGGAAUAAUGAAAUAGGACGAUCGAUCCUAUUUUGUUGGUUUCCAGGAUUGACGUA